This 382-nucleotide ribosomal RNA is filed under the name uncultured eukaryote. Its description in RNAcentral is "partial 18S ribosomal RNA". It matches the Rfam family "Eukaryotic small subunit ribosomal RNA", at positions 592 to 976 of the family's 1831-position model. The record is from RNAcentral.
UGUAAGCGUAUACCAAAGUUGUUGCAGUUAAAACGCUCGUAGUCGGAAUUUGGCAGUUCCGGAUGUGUGCACGUCGUGUGCGCACUUCGCGGGGAUUGCUUUUGUGGUCUUGCGUAGGAUAAGGCACUUUUAUUAGUGAACGUCCUCACGCAACCACUUUUUACUGUGAGAAAAUCAGAGUGCUCAAAGCAGGCAUUUGCCGUGAAUGUAUUAGCAUGGAAUAAUAGAAUAGGACUUGGUUCUAUUUUGUUGGUUUGUUGGGACUGAGUAAUGAUUAAGAGGGACAGUUGGGGGCAUUUGUAUUUCGGUGCUAGAGGUGAAAUUCUUAGAUUACCGAAAGACAAACUGCUGCGAAAGCGUCUGCCAAGGAUGUUUUCAUUGA